GUGUCAGCAGCCGCGGUAAGACGAAGGGGGCUAGCGUUGUUCGGAUUCACUGGGCGUAAAGGGUGCGCAGGCGGCCGGGUGUGUCGGGUGUGAAAGCUCGAGGCUUAACCUCGAAACUGCGCCCGAAACUAUCCGGCUAGAGUACUGGAGAGGGAAGCGGAAUUCACGGUGUAGCAGUGAAAUGCGUAGAUAUCGUGAGGAACACCAAUGGCGAAGGCAGCUUCCUGGACAGUUACUGACGCUCAGGCACGAAAGCGUGGGGAGCAAAAGGGAUUAGAUACCCCCGUAGUCC
This 292-nucleotide ribosomal RNA is filed under the name uncultured bacterium. RNAcentral's name for it is "partial 16S ribosomal RNA". It matches the Rfam family "Bacterial small subunit ribosomal RNA", at positions 505 to 796 of the family's 1533-position model. The record is from RNAcentral.